AAACCGCUUAGAAGAAAACGGACGGAACCGUCUGACGCCCUCGGGAAUCAGUCGAACGACGCGCGAACGCGUCUCGAUCGUCGGAGCGUAAAAGUCCGGCUCGAGGCGUCUAGUAGUCGCGUUCGUAAGGCGCAUUUCUCGAGGGUUAGCGCCGCGACCGAUGCGAACGGCCGACGACGCCGUCGAGUUGAGGUCGAACGCCCUUCGCGGGUAUUCGUAACCAGCUCGUUCGGUAGACGUAUAUAUUGUCGGAUCUAUAGGAGCAUCGAGCGAAUACUAUAAAUACGUCGGCGUAAAACGCUCGACGAGCGGCGGAGACUCGGCCAGUCGUUCGGUACCUGCUCGCAGGUGCUCGUUCGGCGCGAGGUCGUUUCCCGAUGUCGCCGUCGACGCUACCGACGUUUAGGCGUCCGCGGCGUCCGAGUCGGCCACCCGUCCGACCCGUCUUGAAACACGGACCAAGGAGUCUAACGUACGCGCGAGUUAAUGGGUGGAAAACCCAUAAGCGCAAUAAAAGUAAAAGUCGUCCUAAGACGGCCGAGGUACGAUCCUAGACUACGCGUCUAGGCGCAGUACCGUCCCGUCCCGACCGCACGUCGGUAGGGCGGAGAUUGAGCGCGUUCGUUGGGACCCGAAAGAUGGUGAACUAUGCCUGAGCAGAGCGAAGCCAGAGGAAACUCUGGUGGAGGUUCGUAGCGGUUCUGACG
Molecule: ribosomal RNA, 707 nt
Filed under: Xiphinema primum
Lineage: Eukaryota; Metazoa; Nematoda; Enoplea; Dorylaimida; Longidoridae
Description: partial 28S ribosomal RNA
Rfam family: Eukaryotic large subunit ribosomal RNA
Source: RNAcentral